GAUGAACGCUGGCGGCGUGCCUAAUACAUGCAAGUCGAGCGAACAGACGAGGAGCUUGCUCCUCUGACGUUAGCGGCGGACGGGUGAGUAACACGUGGAUAACCUACCUAUAAGACUGGGAUAACUUCGGGAAACCGGAGCUAAUACCGGAUAAUAUAUUGAACCGCAUGGUUCAAUAGUGAAAGACGGUUUUGCUGUCACUUAUAGAUGGAUCCGCGCCGCAUUAGCUAGUUGGUAAGGUAACGGCUUACCAAGGCGACGAUGCGUAGCCGACCUGAGAGGGUGAUCGGCCACACUGGAACUGAGACACGGUCCAGACUCCUACGGGAGGCAGCAGUAGGGAAUCUUCCGCAAUGGGCGAAAGCCUGACGGAGCAACGCCGCGUGAGUGAUGAAGGUCUUCGGAUCGUAAAACUCUGUUAUUAGGGAAGAACAAAUGUGUAAGUAACUAUGCACGUCUUGACGGUACCUAACUAGAAAGCCACGGCUAACUACGUG
This 497-nucleotide ribosomal RNA is filed under the name uncultured bacterium. RNAcentral's name for it is "partial 16S ribosomal RNA". It matches the Rfam family "Bacterial small subunit ribosomal RNA", at positions 28 to 507 of the family's 1533-position model. The record is from RNAcentral.